This 253-nucleotide ribosomal RNA is filed under the name uncultured bacterium. Its description in RNAcentral is "partial 16S ribosomal RNA". It matches the Rfam family "Bacterial small subunit ribosomal RNA", at positions 524 to 776 of the family's 1533-position model. The record is from RNAcentral.
UACAGAGGGUGCGAGCGUUAAUCGGAAUUACUGGGCGUAAAGCGUGCGUAGACGGCUAUCUAAGUCGGGUGUGAAAGCCCCGGGCUCAACCUGGGAAUUGCGAUGGAGACUGCAAGGCUAGAAUCUGGCAGAGGGGGGUAGAAUUCCACGUGUAGCAGUGAAAUGCGUAGAGAUGUGGAGGAACACCGAUGGCGAAGGCAGCCCCCUGGGUCAAGAUUGACGCUCAUGCACGAAAGCGUGGGGAGCAAACAGG